This 492-nucleotide ribosomal RNA is filed under the name uncultured bacterium. RNAcentral describes it as "partial 16S ribosomal RNA". It matches the Rfam family "Bacterial small subunit ribosomal RNA", at positions 29 to 507 of the family's 1533-position model. The record is from RNAcentral.
AGUGAACGCUGGCGGUAGGCCUAACACAUGCAAGUCGAACGGCAGCACAGUAAGAUCUUGCUCUUACGGGUGGCGAGUGGCGGACGGGUGAGGAAUACAUCGGAAUCUACUUUUUCGUGGGGGAUAACGUAGGGAAACUUACGCUAAUACCGCAUACGACCUACGGGUGAAAGCAGGGGAUCUUCGGACCUUGCGCGAUUGAAUGAGCCGAUGUCGGAUUAGCUAGUUGGCGGGGUAAAGGCCCACCAAGGCGACGAUCCGUAGCUGGUCUGAGAGGAUGAUCGGCCACACUGGAACUGAGACACGGUCCAGACUCCUACGGGAGGCAGCAGUGGGGAAUAUUGGACAAUGGGCGCAAGCCUGAUCCAGCAAUACCGCGUGGGUGAAGAAGGCCUUCGGGUUGUAAAGCCCUUUUGUUGGGAAAGAAAAGCAGCAGGUUAAUACCCCGCUGUUCUGACGGUACCCAAAGAAUAAGCACCGGCUAACUUCGUG